GAGGUACUCCCUCCGUUCCGAAUUACUUUUCUUGGAUUUGUCUAGAUACGGAUGUAUCUAGACUCAUUUUAAUGCUAGAUACCUCCGUAUCUAGACAAAUCUAAAACAGGUAAUUCGGAACAGAGGGAGUAUGUG
Non-coding RNA from Triticum urartu, 135 nucleotides. The record is from Rfam. Lineage: Eukaryota; Viridiplantae; Streptophyta; Magnoliopsida; Poales; Poaceae.